RNAcentral lists this transfer RNA (86 nucleotides) under Methylobacterium sp. PvR107. RNAcentral describes it as "tRNA-OTHER". Lineage: Bacteria; Pseudomonadati; Pseudomonadota; Alphaproteobacteria; Hyphomicrobiales; Methylobacteriaceae. The record is from RNAcentral.
GACGCGCUGGAAUUGCUAGCUUUUUCGCGGCGCAUCAGUUCCUUUUAAUCUGUAGGUCCUGGGUUCGAGUCCCAGCGCGCUCACCA